RNAcentral lists this unclassified non-coding RNA (253 nucleotides) under uncultured Trueperaceae bacterium. RNAcentral's name for it is "contains 16S-23S intergenic spacer region". It matches the Rfam family "Bacterial small subunit ribosomal RNA", at positions 524 to 776 of the family's 1533-position model. The record is from RNAcentral. Lineage: Bacteria; Thermotogati; Deinococcota; Deinococci; Trueperales; Trueperaceae.
UACGGAGGGUGCGAGCGUUAUCCGGAAUCACUGGGCGUAAAGGGCGCGUAGGCGGUUUGCUAAGUCCGAUGUUAAAGACCGGGGCUCAACCCCGACACGGCGUUGGAUACUGGCGAGCUUGACGACUGGAGAGGAAGGUAGAAUUACCAGUGUAGCGGUGGAAUGCGUAGAUACUGGUAGGAAUACCCAUAGCGAAGGCAGCCUUCUGGACAGUUAGUGACGCUGAGGCGCGAAAGUGUGGGGAGCAAACCGG